This 1242-nucleotide ribosomal RNA is filed under the name Polypsocus corruptus. RNAcentral describes it as "16S ribosomal RNA". Lineage: Eukaryota; Metazoa; Arthropoda; Insecta; Psocodea; Amphipsocidae. The record is from RNAcentral.
AAUAUAAUUUUUUUUGAAUUAAAUUUAUUAUUUUAAAUUUAGUUAUAUAGUUUAAAUAAAAUAUUAAAAUUUUUAGUAAUUAAAUGAAAAAUUAGGGUUAAUUAUAGAGAAUAGUAUAUAAAUAGAUUUAAAUAAAAUUUUUAAAAGAUAGAUUAAUUAUUUUUACCUUUUGUAUCAGGGUUUAAAUAAAAUUUAAUAAAUUUUUAUUUCUCGAAAAUUUUUGAUUUAAUUUAUUAUUAUUAUUAAUGUGGAAAAAUUAAAUUGAAUAUUAAAUUAGUAAUUAAAAGUUAGUCGUUAAAAUUAAUUUCUAGUUAUUAAAUAAAUUAAUUUAAUUAAGUUAUUAAUAGAAUUAGUUUAAAAAAUUUAAAUUAAUUAUAUUAAUUAAAAAAUUAUUUAAAGUUUAUUUUAGAUAAUUUUUAUAUUUUAUAAUAAUAUAAAGAUUUUAUUUAGAUUUAAAAUUGAUUUAUAUAAAUAAUUUUUUAUAAAUAAAAAUUUUUUUAUUUAAAUUUUUAAUUAAAAUUAAGUUUAUAUUUAAUAAUUAUUUUUAAUAAAAAAAAAUAAGGUAUAAUUUUAAAAUUAGUAAUUCUUUAAAUUUAAAUUUAGUAAUUCGGCAAAUAUAAUUUACAGCUGUUUAUCAAAAACAUGUCUUUAAGAAAUUUGUUUAAAGUCUAAUCUGCUCACUGAUAAUUUAAAGAGCCGCAGUAUAUUGACUGUGCAAAGGUAGCAUAAUCAAUAGUUUUUUAAUUGAAAACUGGAAUGAAAGAUUGAAUGAUAAAUUAACUUUCUUAAUUUUAAAAAAUGAAUUUAAAAUUUAAGUUAAAAUUCUUAAAUGAUUUUAAAAGACGAGAAGACCCCAUAGAUUUUUAUUAAUUUAAAUAAUUAAUAUAAAUAAUUAUUUUAGUUAAUUUAAUUGGGGUGAUUUUGUGAUAUAAAAAACUUAAUUUUUUUUAACCAUAAAUAAUUGAAUCUUUUGAUUUAAAAUUUUUAAAUUAAAAUUAAAUUACCUUGGGGAUAACAGCGUAAUAUUAUUUAAGAGUUGAUAUCUAUAAUAAUGCUUGCGACCUCGAUGUUGAAUUAAGAAAUAUAUUGGAGUAGAAAUUAAUAUUAAUUAGUCUGUUCGACUAUUAAAUUCUUACAUGAUUUGAGUUCAGACCGGCGUAAGCCAGGUCAGUUUCUAUCUUUAAAUUUUUUUUGUGAAUAAGUACGAAAGGACAAUUUAUUAAUAAUAUUUAUUUUAAAUUU